GAUGAACGCUGGCGGCAUGCUUUACACAUGCAAGUCGGACGGGCAGUGGUGUUUCUAGUGGCUGUCGGGUUAGUAACGCGUAAGAACCUGCCCUUGGGAGGGGAACAAUAUCUGGAAACGGUUGCUAAUACCCCGCAGGCCUAGUAGCGAAAGGUGUAAUCCGCCCCAGGAGGGGCUCGGGUCUGAUUAUCUAGCUGUUGGAGUAGUAGCUUACCAAGGCCGUUAUCAGUAGAUGUUCGGAGAGGAUUAUCGGCCACACUGGGACUGAGACAAGGACCAGACUACUACGGGAAGCAGGAGUAGGGAAUUUGCAGCAAUGGGGGGUAGGCUGAGGGGGCAAUGCGGCGUGGAGGUAAAGGGACUACGGGUGAAGAACUUCGUAACCUGGAGAAGAAACAAUGACGGUACCUGGGGAGUAAGCAUCGGCUAACUAUGUG
Molecule: ribosomal RNA, 437 nt
Filed under: uncultured bacterium
Lineage: Bacteria
Description: partial 16S ribosomal RNA
Rfam family: Bacterial small subunit ribosomal RNA
Source: RNAcentral